This 502-nucleotide ribosomal RNA is filed under the name uncultured bacterium. Its description in RNAcentral is "bacterial SSU rRNA". It matches the Rfam family "Bacterial small subunit ribosomal RNA", at positions 30 to 528 of the family's 1533-position model. The record is from RNAcentral.
AUUGAACGCUGGCGGUAUGCUUUACACAUGCAAGUCGAACGGUAACAGGUCUUCGGAUGCUGACGAGUGGCGAACGGGUGAGUAAUGUAUCGGAACGUGCCUAGUAAUGGGGGAUAACCACUCGAAAGAGUGACUAAUACCGCAUAAUAUCUCAGGAUGAAAGCGGGGGAUCGCAAGACCUCGCGUUAUUAGAGCGGCCGAUAUCAGAUUAGGUAGUUGGUGGGAUAAAAGCCUACCAAGCCAACGAUCUGUAGCUGGUCUGAGAGGACGACCAGCCACACUGGGACUGAGACACGGCCCAGACUCCUACGGGAGGCAGCAGUGGGGAAUUUUGGACAAUGGGCGAAAGCCUGAUCCAGCAAUACCGCGUGCAGGACGAAGGCCUUCGGGUUGUAAACUGCUUUUGUACGGACGAAACGGUUCAGAUUAAUACUCUGAACUAAUGACGGUACCGUAAGAAUAAGCACCGGCUAACUACGUGCCAGCAGCCGCGGUAAACCGU